GGCUUAGACAAGACCCGAGCCAUCAUGGCCUCCAAGUGUGACUAAGCCAUGGUGGAAAUCAAGAGCCAAGUAGGAGAUCACUGUGGUAUGUACUCAGACAUGAUGAUCUAAUAUAUUAUUGCUUUAGUCACUGUCAUCAUAUCUUUCAAAAUUGUUAGCGAUUCUUUACCUCCUUUUAUGCUUUCUAUUGUCAUGGAUGUGCCCAUUCUAAUUUCAUGCAUAGUUUUCUUAUGUAAUCAUGGAGAUUAGAUCUAGCUCGUCGAUCCUUCAUGACAACAAGACACGCAUAAUGAUAUCUCUAGUGAGCCUAUGUGGUCGUGACAUUGGAACCUCUUGCACAGGACAACUAUAUAGUGAUAGGAUUUGGGUCUAGUAGAGUAUUAAGUAAUCAGGGAGUAUAACAGAGGGUAGUAGGUAGUUUAAAGAUGCUUUGGAUGAUGCAUGUACUUCCUCAUAGGCUAGAAAUAUAAUGAGAAGGCAUUUGGUUCUUAUGUUCUCUCUUGUAUUUACGUGGUUGUGUUCUAUUCAUGCCCACAAUGUUUAUCUUAUGUUGAAUUUAGUGUUAUAUGCAACUUAUGCUUUAUAUGGUAGGAUUAGAUUCAUUUAGUUAUAUAGAAAAUCUUAGUGAGUUUGGUUCUGAUCCUUUAACUCAAUAAAACUUUAGAGAAUACUAAGGGAAAAGCUACAAUGUCACCACUCACUCGCAUUUACAAAACAUGUGCACAAGAGGCAUCAAUAUCCUCCAUAUUCAUGUCAUUCUACUCGUUGAGAUUUGCCUCUGGCUCGACCUAAGGUAUCAUCGCUUCCUCCAUUUCAUGGUUUGCAGUGACAGGCCCUCCAGAUGUGUUGGUCAUUCAGAUCAUUAUGAGACAAGGGUGGUGAAGAAUGCAACAAGGGUGAAUCAUGCAGAGGGAAUUGUGACAAAAUGGGAGGUAAUAAAUGAAGUGAGAAGGGUGAAGCAUGUUGCAAGGUAGAGAAUUAUAAGAAAAAAAAACUGUGAAUGGAUGGCCCAUUCAUAAAAGAGCCUACAGCUAUAUUAAAAAACCAAUCCAUUUUACUAAACAUCCUUGUCCCAAUAUUUUCUCAUCUUGUAGCAGACGUUAUUUGCAGGAAUCAAUGGUAAUGUAACAUUUUUUAUACAAUUUUCAUGUGCUAUAAAAUCGACUUUGGAAUAGUAGAAUUGCAAAUCUGUUACAGGUGAGGCCUACAUGCCCAACAUGAAUUUCAGCCCUAAUGAGUAACUAAGGUAGAUCUGCAUAUUAUUUAAAGUAUUGUAAGCAUGAAUUACAAACUAAGUUCAAGC
Molecule: long non-coding RNA, 1303 nt
Filed under: Setaria viridis
Lineage: Eukaryota; Viridiplantae; Streptophyta; Magnoliopsida; Poales; Poaceae
Description: long non-coding RNA (SVIR_LNC003691)
Source: RNAcentral